CGUACACUCCUACGGGAGGCAGCAGUAGGGAAUCUUCGGCAAUGGGGGCAACCCUGACCGAGCAACGCCGCGUGAGUGAAGAAGGUUUUCGGAUCGUAAAGCUCUGUUGUAAGUCAAGAACGAGUGUGAGAGUGGAAAGUUCACACUGUGACGGUAGCUUACCAGAAAGGGACGGCUAACUACGUGCCAGCAGCCGCGGUAAUACGUAGGUCCCGAGCGUUGUCCGGAUUUAUUGGGCGUAAAGCGAGCGCAGGCGGUUUGAUAAGUCUGAAGUUAAAGGCUGUGGCUCAACCAUAGUUCGCUUUGGAAACUGUCAAACUUGAGUGCAGAAGGGGAGAGUGGAAUUCCAUGUGUAGCGGUGAAAUGCGUAGAUAUAUGGAGGAACACCGGUGGCGAAAGCGGCUCUCUGGUCUGUAACUGACGCUGAGGCUCGAAAGCGUGGGGAGCGAACAGGAUUAGAAACCCCAGUAGUCCCAUG
This 478-nucleotide ribosomal RNA is filed under the name uncultured organism. RNAcentral's name for it is "partial 16S ribosomal RNA". It matches the Rfam family "Bacterial small subunit ribosomal RNA", at positions 330 to 799 of the family's 1533-position model. The record is from RNAcentral.